CGUUUGUCAAGGCUUGUUGGCUCUGAUUUAAUUUAAUGUGCAUAAAUUAACCAAAAUUUAAUAAGUCCCAGCAACAGAAACAGCCUCGGCCAAGGCCUCAGCUCCAGCUUACAUCUCAUACUGUGAACAAGAUGGAUGGCAAGCCGAUUUGUAGCCAACUGCAUUUCUAAUCGGUCUCUGGCUAUUUGCAUGUCGAACAAAAUUCAUUACAGAAUGUUCUCUGUCAUGGAAAUUUGAGGUGUGUGUCUGUGCGGCUAAUGGAGUUAACAGACAUGGCCUUUACACACACGAUACACAUCGGAAGCGGAAGCACAAGGACCGUCGGGCUGCACGCACGACAGAUAGCAAUGUGCAACGUCUGUUCAGAGUGUGAUUCCUGACGCCCUGUUUUUGGAGAAGCUUAAAUAUAUUUUGGAGCUGGGGACUGUGGCUGCAACAGACAGUAGGAAGCCGUACGAAAAUAUACACACGAUUAAACGCAGACGUCCAACCAAGUUCAGAGCUGGAAAUUUAAGAACUUAAACUGAUUUAGGAAAAAUGGUCCUCUGCGCCAGUUCACCUUCAGGGCACUAGAGAGCGCUCUGUGCUCUGAGGUUGUGGAGGUUGAAAGUCGAGAGCGCAUUUGUGCCGGCCACUAAAUCCUCUUAGAAUGCAUCUAGACGGGCUACAAGUGGCUUCAGAACUUUUUCAUGGACUGUGCCACUGACGAGCCACUGACAGACAGCACAUAGAAGCGUAGAAGCGAUAUAUGUACGUAAACAACGAUGGUUAUGAAGCUUCAGGUGCAAGGAGAGGAGUGGAGAGGCGAGGCGAGGUCAGGAGCAGGACAGACUUUUUAACCUACAUAAAAACCUGUGAAUCCCCCAAAGAGCGCGCUGAAAGUGAUACUCGUACCCAAACCCCUCGACGCUGCAUCGUCCUGUCCAAAGUAAGUUGUGAUUCUGUCAGAAUUGUUGGUGCUGUGCAUCAAUAUUUCAGUCAACUUUGUGCCCCCAUGAGGCGCGGACCGACACACGUGUGUGUCCAACUUUUUUUGUCUGACUUAAUCUGUGAAUUAAGCAGUGGGCAUAUUUGAUGUCGCUCAACUGGAAAACAGCUCGGAAAACCUGAAAGAAAGCUCUACAAAGACAUGUCCAGCUAAAAGCCCCACUGUGUGCCGAGUGGAGUUAAUUAGGGUAAAUGCUUAGAUUGAACUCCUGGGGAAAGCCGAGAACUGGUAUGAAAGCUGAAUGCUGCAGAUACGGCAGAAGGAGAAGAUUUCUAUGGGACAGCAGAAAUCUUGAAUGCUUUAAAUGCAUUGAGAAAAGCUUGUUAAUUGAAAGUACACUCUAAAUACAGCGAAUGCAUAAAGCAUACAAUAUAGUGUGAUUCAUAGGGAUAAUUAACGUGCAAAUUCAUUCGAAUUAAAAGAAAACCUGCAACGUCCGGUAUGGCAUCCAGUGGCUGCCAUUAAACAGCCACGGCCACGACCACAACUCAGAGCGAAGUUGGUCUUAAAACUGACAUAAAAAAGCAAGGAAAAGCCGCAUUUAAAUUAAUGUUGAAAUACAGUGCGCAUACAUUCAGCUGUCAGAGACAUGCGCCGACAAAGUCAAAGGUGAACGGAGCCCACAAGCCAACCCACGAACAUUUCCAGCCAGGAAACUAACCAAAAACUCGCCCUCCACCACGUAAAAGGCUCUCCUGCAGGAGCUUACAGAAAUGCGACUUGACAUGCUGACGCAGCUCGCAGUUAUACAGACAACACUAUAUCAUUAGCACGGACUUCUAUGGACCUACAAGGUUAUUAAAGGCGUCUACCUUAAAUUUUCCUAUUUUGUGUUGUGCUCGCACGAGGCAGAGGUGGAGUUAGUUUGGGGAAGGUGUUUAGUAUAUGCAUUCAUUAUUUACUAUGACCCACGGGCAAGAUUUAUCAGCGCUUCCGAUCGAAUGGACCUUUUAGGAGUACUUACCGC
Long non-coding RNA from Drosophila pseudoobscura, 1955 nucleotides. RefSeq lists it as uncharacterized. The transcript has 3 exons. The record is from RefSeq and is a predicted model, not a curated record. Lineage: Eukaryota; Metazoa; Arthropoda; Insecta; Diptera; Drosophilidae.